RNA transcript from Nothobranchius furzeri (turquoise killifish), 5035 nucleotides. It is a transcript of the gene named chemokine-like protein TAFA-1, with no coding region annotated. NCBI's taxonomy places the organism in Eukaryota, Metazoa, Chordata, Actinopteri, Cyprinodontiformes, Nothobranchiidae. The record is from RefSeq and is a predicted model, not a curated record.
CUCAGCUCUGUCUCUCCCUCUCUUUCCAGCUGGGCUUCUAUUGUAAUACACACACACAUUCAUGCUCUCUCACACUCGCUCUGCCUGCCUGCCUGCCUGACACACAGACUCUCUACUUACAGCGCUGAAGGGAGGACUGAGGCUCACACUUUCAGCUUCUCAAUGGGGGGAUGCAGCCAAGAGCAGACAGAGCAGUCAUUCCACUGGAGCCUUCCGCUGCACGCGUGAGAGAGAGGGGGACGACAAGUGAGGAGGCUGAACUAGACAUCCCCCUUUCAUCUGCACACAGGAGUUUUACUUGACCGUGAAGAGACACUGAAAAGGAGAGAAGACCUGCCGUGCCAUGAUCAGCCUCUCCAUCCCUCACGUCCUGGCUAGUUUGUGACAAACACACACACACCCCCUCUUGGGUGUUUUUGGGACUCUUUGUGUUGGCAAGGAUUUCCAAAGAGCAGCAGAGGUCCUGAGGAGGGGGACACAAGGAUAAAUUUUAGCACCCUGGUGUUUCUUUUCUUGUGCAGCUCUUGGCUUACCUGGUGGUGUUGGAAUUUGGAGCAGAAAUCCCCGGCUUCCCAGCAUGGAUGGAAUUAAGAGAGAGGAGUGAGACGAGCAGGCGGGGAUUCUGACUGAGCUUCUUUCCUUCUCAACACACAGCUCAGACUCAGCCUCACCAUGUCCUGGUUGUUGGCCGUGUGGAUUAGCCUCGGCUUCCUGCUGCUGUGCCAGGCCACCCUUUACCAAACCAUCCAGCAGCACCACGUGGCUCGACCCGGUCGCACUGACAUCCUCACCCUAGAGGGCGGAACGUGUGAGGUGAUUGCUGCCCACCGGUGCUGCAACAAAAACCGUAUUGAGGAGCGCUCUCAGACGGUCAAGUGUUCCUGUUUACCUGGAAAAGUGGCUGGGACAACACGCAACAAGCCCUCCUGUGUGGAUGCAUCCAUCGUAAUUGGGAAGUGGUGGUGUGAGAUGGAACCAUGUCUGGAGGGAGAGGAGUGUAAGACUCUGCCCGACAAUUCUGGAUGGAUGUGCUCCUCUGGGAACAAGAUAAAGACAACAAGGAACACCCAGCCAUACUCCCCUUUUUAGCUUCCGGAAGCAAAAUGCAGAAGAUGUGUCAACAGAAAUUGAGCUGCAUUCUUGCUUCUGUAAAGAGAGGGAACCCUUCAAUGCCUGUUCUGUAUCAGCAGACAAGGCAGGCCCUUUUGUUUGUGGAAGUCACAGUGAGCGCAGUGAGCUCGGGAGCCCCUUCCAAAAACAUUCGCCCACCAUAGAUCUGCAUUACCCGCUCCACUGGCUAAAAUAAAUCAAUCUAUUUUUGCCACAAACAUUUAUACAUCCUAAAGAAGACAAGCGAAAUGAAAACAGCUUGUUAUUCUCCCACUUUUUGACUUAGUGACAGAAAUAUGUUCUUGUGCAAGACUGAAUAUUUAUAUUUUGGAACCAUUUGGCACAAGAGGCAACCAGAAAUUCACCUACAGCACACAAGCUGUUUGAGCUGAAUAAAGAAACGCCACCCCUGAAAACUGUUCAGAUUAGCAAGCACAAAGUAUCAAACUUGAGUGGAUCAGUCUUACCUCACCAUUGCCUCUUUUAUUCCCAGUGAUUUCCUUGUUGUAUGGAAAUCCACGUUUUGUUUUGUUUUUUUAAAAAAGCUGCAGAGGGCACUUUUUUAAAGCUAAGUAACACACAGUCUGCGAGCAAAACUAACUUGCCUGCAGAAGCAACUCCAUCAGAUAAUGAGACAUUAUUCUGAAGGUGAUCAACUACAAAUAACCAUUUCAUGCACAUUCAUCCGGGAAUGACCUGUUCGACUGCUGCUUGAAUACGGUCCUGUGGAAACGUCUCUGCGCCUUCAUAUUAUUUUCUGUUUUGUCACAGAUGAAUGUUUCAUGAAACACAUUCCAAUAUUAGACAAAGAUAACCUCUGGAAAUGCAGAGAAAUGUUUCCAAAUGAUGAUCUCAUUCAUCAAGGGAAGAACGACUAUUCAAACCAACUGGCCCUAAACGACAAAGCUAUUGCCCCUAAACAUAAUGUGGGCCUACUCUCAUAACUUCUAUGAGUUUGCUGUGGUCUCUAGUAAGUGAGUAAUGUGGUCUCUGAAUGCCUUGUGAGUCAUUGUCUUUAGGUCUUUAGAAAAAAAGCACUGGCACUCCUGUUUUAGGAAGUAAAAUUUAGAGGAGUGAGGGAUGGAAAACAGCUUUGGAUUUGGAGUCUUAUUAAUAUUCAUGAUGUCCGAACAGCUCACCUCUGAUUCGCAAACAGCAACGUGGCUCUUCUGCUUCCUCCAUUCACUCUUCUUCCAUGGGGAAAACAUACAAUGUUGAUGUCUUAGCUCCUCAAAUAACUCAAGUGUGAACAUGUUCUGCCAAGUUGGGGAGUUGCUAAUGCUAAUGGUUAGCUUCUCUCAGAUGCAGAAGUGCUCUGCUCUUUCUUGGAUGCUAAAUUCCCUUGUCUGGUUCUACUCAAACCUUACUGGCAGAACCGAAUACUUUGCUCUGGGCCAAACAAGAUCACACAUAUGUGGUGUCCCUCAAGGCUCUCUUCUGGACCCCAAUUUAUUCUCACAUCAUUAGCAGACAUGGCAUAUCCGUCCACUGUUAUGCUGAUGAUACUCAGCUCUACCUCAAGACACCAACCAGCUUCUCUGCUCCUGUGUGCACAAGAAAUACCUGUCUGGAGGACAUAGAGGCGUGGAUGAAGCUCAACUUUCUUCAGUUAAACAGCUCUAAGACAGAAGCAAUUCUAGUUGGCACACUUCAUAAACUCCACUUUUCCACCAUAACCAGCAUCACUUUCUCUGGCCAAAACAUACCCCUUUCCACAACUGUCACCAACGUGGGUGUCAAAAUGGAUUCACAACUCACCUUUGAUAUCCACAUCAGACGCUUGUGUAAGACAUCCUUUUAUCAUCAUUGGAACAUUGGCAAACUAUGAACAGUGCUAAGCCUGGCAGAUGCAGAGAAGCUUGUCAACGCCUUUAUCUCUUCCAGAAUGGACUACUGUAAUGCAAUCCUAUUUGGGAUCCCUGAAAAAAGCAUUCAGAGACUACAAAACAUCCAGAACAGAACUGCUAGGAUCCUAAUGAGGGUGCACAAGUAUGAGCAUAUCACCCUCAUUCUGAAAGCUCUUCAUUGGCUCCUAGUUUCAUUCAGAAUUUAAUUCAACGUUUCUCUGCUCUCUUAUCCGUGCAUUCAUGGUCAUACUCCCUUCUAUUUCAAAGGACCUCCUCACAUUCCCAACAAAUCAAAUUCUUUGAUCUGCAACAACAAAUACACUCUAAAUCCUCAGAAGUAAGCUUCGCAGCAUGGGUGAUCCAGCCUUUUCAACUGCUGGUCCGAGGAUAUGGAAUACCCUACCCAUUAAUCAAUUUCCCUCUGGGAUUAAUACAGUAUUUUUGAAUUGAAUUGAAUCCAUCUGAAAGCCCCAUAAACUGUAGAUGCUAUUAAAUGGAAUCUUAAGACGUAUCUUUUUAGGAAAGCCUUUUGCUAAGUACAUUAUAUAUACUUUGUAGCUCUUUGAGAUUGCUAAAAUACAAAGUACGUAACACGUACAAUUUUGUUUUAUUAUUAUUAUUUUUAUUAUUAUUAUUAUUAUUGUUGUUGUUGUUGUUGUUGUUAUUAUUAUUAUAUUAAUGAUAAUACUUUUAAAGAAAAAUACUGCACUAUUACAACACUACUGACCUGCGCAUUUGCAGACUAUAUUCACUUUCUGACUGCAUCUCAAAGUGACAAUAGGAUUUCAUAAGAACAAGUAUUGUACGUUUCUCAGUGAAUAUCCUCUUUAAUACCUCAUUUUAACCCUGUUUGCAGCAACAUCUACACUCAAGAAUUUGUGAUAACUGGUGAAGGAAAUGUAUUCUGUUGCUUUUAGAGUAAUAGUUUUAAAACAGCCUGUCCAAGUUCAAGGCAUGACAUUCUACAGGACUCUUUGAUGAGAGCAGUAUUCAUAAAUUCAAGUCAUCUAGAAUCUGAAGGAGCCCCAGGCCAUCACACUACCAUCACCAAGUUUGACUGCAUUGUACGAUGUUUUGUGUUUUUUUUUUUGUCCUCUUUUAUUCUGAAAUCCAGUUUUAAUUUAACACAAUGCUGACACAUUAAUUCCACAAAUGCCUGGAAGACUGAGAUGUUUAAAGGUGUGGUUUACUCAUUAAUUCAAUAGAUCACUCAUAAAAAAAAACUAAAACGCUAUGAUGCUCCUUUUCUAAGAUGCUGAAGUUUGCUCGUACAGAGGUGAGCUGAAAACAGCAGAAUUGCACAUUAUUAUUAUUAUUAUUAUUAUUAUUAUUAUUAUUAUUAUUGUUAUUAUUAUUAUUAUUAUUAUUAUCUAUAUGAACACACCUCAUUUCUGAUUCGCUAACAAAACACGUUCAGCCAUUUUGCAAAAUAUCCGCUCUCAUUCCUUGGUGCAAAAAAAAAAAAAAGAAAGAAAGAAAGCCUUCCUGUGGGUGAGCACGAGCCAAGAUGGGCAAGGCCAUGGAUGCAAAUUCACAGUGUGGCAUAAAUAUGUGAGGAUUUUCAAAUCCUGGCAUUGUCUAUUUUGUCAGAAGCUAAUGCAGGAGAUAGGUGUAUAACUCUGUUUUCAUGUUCAGCCUGUAUGGAAAAACUCAAUGACGAAUUAAAUUAAGAAAAUAAAAUGUUUUUUAGUCAACUACACCUUUAUGGUAAAUUUGAGAAAAGAUGGGUUCUGUUUGGUCAGCAGAUUUUCCAAUGGUCUUGCAGUAAUGUGGUUAAACACAGUUAAUUCCUAUUUUCAGUCAAUUAACAUUUCACGUUGAGCCAGGUUGGUUUGGAUAGUAAUAUAAUUUCCAUUAGAAAACAGCAUUUUGUAUUCACUCAGGUUAUCUUUCUCUAUUUUUAUUUAUUUAUUUUUUUGUUUGCUGAUCUGAAAAUAUAAAUGUGUCAAAAACCAAAACAGAAAAGUAUCUGUAAUGACACAAAUACACUUUACUACACUAAAUAUUUCUCCUUCUCCUUCAAGCAUUUGUGGCAUUAUGAGAAAGACUAGUAAAUAAAAUAUUUUGAAAACAUUGUU